Molecule: ribosomal RNA, 497 nt
Filed under: uncultured bacterium
Lineage: Bacteria
Description: partial 16S ribosomal RNA
Rfam family: Bacterial small subunit ribosomal RNA
Source: RNAcentral
GAUGAACGCUGGCGGCGUGCCUAACACAUGCAAGUCGAACGGAAAGACCAUGCGCUUGUGCCUUUCACGGUAGCGGCGGGCGGGAGAGUAACGCGUGUAUCACCCCCUUAUAAUACGGGGAUCAUUACGAAACACCGGAGAUAAUCCCAUAGAAUCUCUUGCACCGCGUGGUGCAAUGGUAAAUGUCGGUUUUUGUGUAUCUACUCGCUGCAUCUGGGCCUGAUUAGCUAGUUGGUAAGGUAACAGCCUAUCAAGGCGACUAUGCGUAGCCGAGCUGAUAGGGGGAUCGGCCACAUGGGAACGUGGACACGGUCCAGACGCCUACGGGAGGCAGCAGUAGGGAAUGUUCGGCAGUGGGCGGAAGCAUGACGCAGCGAGGCCGCGUGAGUGAUGAAGGCGUUCGGAUCGUAAAGCCCGGUUUUGGGGGAAGAACAGCUGUCGAAUGAGACGUGGCGGGCUUGACGGUACCUAAUAAAAAAGCACCGGCUAACUACGUG